GUGUGUAUAGAGGUUUGGUGGGUGUAGAGCUGUAUAUAGAGGUGUGGUGGGUGUAGAGGUGUAUAGAGGUGUGGUGGGUGUAGAGGUGUAUAUAGGUGUGGUGGGUGUAGAGGUGUAUUGUGGUGUGGUGGGUGUAGAGGUGUAUUGUGGUGUGGUGGGUGUAGAGGUGUAUUGUGGUGUGGAGGGUGUAGAGGUGUAUUGUGGUGUGGUGGGUGUAGAGGUGUAUUGUGGUGUGGAGGGUGUAGAGGUGUAUUGUGGUGUGGUGGGUGUAGAGGUGUAUUGUGGUGUGGUGGGUUUAGAGCUGUAUAUAGAGGUGUGGUGGUGUAGAGCUGUAUAUAGAGGUGUGGUGGGUGUAUAGAGGUGUAUAGAGGUG
RNAcentral lists this long non-coding RNA (373 nucleotides) under Salmo salar (Atlantic salmon). RNAcentral describes it as "lncRNA (ENSSSAG00000109344.1)". The record is from RNAcentral. Lineage: Eukaryota; Metazoa; Chordata; Actinopteri; Salmoniformes; Salmonidae.